This 569-nucleotide ribosomal RNA is filed under the name uncultured Propionibacterium sp. RNAcentral's name for it is "bacterial SSU rRNA". It matches the Rfam family "Bacterial small subunit ribosomal RNA", at positions 304 to 883 of the family's 1533-position model. Lineage: Bacteria; Bacillati; Actinomycetota; Actinomycetes; Propionibacteriales; Propionibacteriaceae. The record is from RNAcentral.
CCGGCCACAUUGGGACUGAGAUACGGCCCAGACUCCUACGGGAGGCAGCAGUGGGGAAUAUUGCACAAUGGGCGGAAGCCUGAUGCAGCAACGCCGCGUGCGGGAUGACGGCCUUCGGGUUGUAAACCGCUUUCGCCUGUGACGAAGCGUGAGUGACGGUAAUGGGUAAAGAAGCACCGGCUAACUACGUGCCAGCAGCCGCGGUGAUACGUAGGGUGCGAGCGUUGUCCGGAUUUAUUGGGCGUAAAGGGCUCGUAGGUGGUUGAUCGCGUCGGAAGUGUAAUCUUGGGGCUUAACCGGCAGCGGGAAUUCGAUACGGGUUGACUUGAGGAAGGUAGGGGAGAAUGGAAUUCCUGGUGGAGCGGUGGAAUGCGCAGAUAUCAGGAGGAACACCAGUGGCGAAGGCGGUUCUCUGGGCCUUUCCUGACGCUGAGGAGCGAAAGCGUGGGGAGCGAACAGGCUUAGAUACCCUGGUAGUCCACGCUGUAAACGGUGGGUACUAGGUGUGGGGUCCAUUCCACGGGUUCCGUGCCGUAGCUAACGCUUUAAGUACCCCGCCUGGGGAGUAC